GACGAACGCUGGCGGCGUGCUUAAUACAUGCAAGUAGAACGGUAAGGAGAUGAGCUUGCUCUUCGUGGGUGAGUUGCGAAAGUGAGAGUAACGUGAAGGUAACCUGCCUUGGAGCGGGGGAUAACUAUUUGAAACGAUAGCUAAUACCGCAUAACAACGGAUUGCACGGGGCAGGUAUGUGAAAGGGGCAAUUGCUGGACUACAAGAUGGACCUGCGGUGUAUUAGCUAGUAGGUGAGGUAAUGGCUCACCUAGGCGACGAUAGAUAGCCUACCGGAGAGGGUGAUCGGCCGCACUGGGACGGAGACACGCCCCAGAGGCCUACGGGAGGGAGCAGUAGGGCAUCGUCGGCAAUGGGGGGGAAUCUGACAGAGCAGCGCCGAGUGAGUGAAGACGGUUUCCGGAUCGGAAAGAUCGGUUGUAGGUCAAGAACGGGUGUGAGCGUGGAAAGAUCACUCUGUGACGGUAGCUUAACAGGAAGCACCGGCUAACUACGUG
Molecule: ribosomal RNA, 497 nt
Filed under: uncultured bacterium
Lineage: Bacteria
Description: partial 16S ribosomal RNA
Rfam family: Bacterial small subunit ribosomal RNA
Source: RNAcentral